This 492-nucleotide ribosomal RNA is filed under the name uncultured bacterium. Its description in RNAcentral is "partial 16S ribosomal RNA". It matches the Rfam family "Bacterial small subunit ribosomal RNA", at positions 29 to 507 of the family's 1533-position model. The record is from RNAcentral.
AGUGAACGCUGGCGGUAGGCCUAACACAUGCAAGUCGAACGGCAGCACAGUAAGAGCUUGCUCUUACGGGUGGCGAGUGGCGGACGGGUGAGGAAUACAUCGGAAUCUACUUUUUCGUGGGGGAUAACGUAGGGAAACUUACGCUAAUACCGCAUACGACCUACGGGUGAAAGUAGGGGAUCUUCGGACCUUGCGCGAUUGAAUGAGCCGAUGUCGGAUUAGCUAGUUGGCGGGGUAAAGGCCCACCAAGGCGACGAUCCGUAGCUGGUCUGAGAGGAUGAUCAGCCACACUGGAACUGAGACACGGUCCAGACUCCUACGGGAGGCAGCAGUGGGGAAUAUUGGACAAUGGGCGCAAGCCUGAUCCAGCCAUACCGCGUGGGUGAAGAAGGCCUUCGGGUUGUAAAGCCCUUUUGUUGGGAAAGAAAAGCAGCAGGUUAAUACCCCGCUGUUCUGACGGUACCAAAAGAAUAAGCACCGGCUAACUUCGUG